CAGUAGGGAAUCUUCGGCAAUGGACGAAAGUCUGACCGAGCAACGCCGCGUGAGUGAAGAAGGUUUUCGGAUCGUAAAACUCUGUUGUUAGAGAAGAGCGACGAGGAGAGUGGAAAGCUCCUUGUGUGACGGUAUCUAACCAGAAAGGGACGGCUAACUACGUGCCAA
Molecule: ribosomal RNA, 168 nt
Filed under: uncultured bacterium
Lineage: Bacteria
Description: partial 16S rRNA
Rfam family: Bacterial small subunit ribosomal RNA
Source: RNAcentral